Molecule: small nuclear RNA, 18 nt
Filed under: Arabidopsis thaliana (thale cress)
Lineage: Eukaryota; Viridiplantae; Streptophyta; Magnoliopsida; Brassicales; Brassicaceae
Description: snRNA_09140
Source: RNAcentral
UUUUGUAACUUUUUGUUU